GAUGAACGCUGGCGGCGUGCCUAAUACAUGCAAGUCGAGCGAACGGACGAGAAGCUUGCUUCUCUGAUGUUAGCGGCGGACGGGUGAGAAACACGUGGAUAACCUACAUAUAAGACUGGGAUAACUUCGGGAAACCGGAGCUAAUACCGGAUAAUAUUUUGAACCGCAUGGUUCAAAAGUGAAAGACGGUCUUGCUGUCACUUAUAGAUGGAUCCGCGCUGCAUUAGCUAGUUGGUAAGGUAACGGCUUACCAAGGCAACGAUGCAUAGCCGACCUGAGAGGGUGAUCGGCCACACUGGAACUGAGACACGGUCCAGACUCCUACGGGAGGCAGCAGUAGGGAAUCUUCCGCAAUGGGCGAAAGCCUGACGGAGCAACGCCGCGUGAGUGAUGAAGGUCUUCGGAUCGUAAAACUCUGUUAUUAGGGAAGAACAUAUGUGUAAGUAACUGUGCACAUCUUGACGGUACCUAAUCAGAAAGCCACGGCUAACUACGUG
This 497-nucleotide ribosomal RNA is filed under the name uncultured bacterium. RNAcentral describes it as "partial 16S ribosomal RNA". It matches the Rfam family "Bacterial small subunit ribosomal RNA", at positions 28 to 507 of the family's 1533-position model. The record is from RNAcentral.